GGACUGGAAGGAAGAACAGGCGGUCUCACAGCCGGGUUCCGCCGGGGCGGAUGUGCAAACAGUCCGUUUCCUGCGGGUCCGUGCCUGCCAGCUCCCCCGCCCCUCCCCAUCACCGCCCGCCCCCACCCCGAGCAGGGCCUCGGAUGGUGACUCUCCUGGAACAUCAAGACCCUCGGUUCUCGGUUCUCAAGCCUAGCUGUGCAUCACAAACACCUGGACUGCUGAGCCACAACCACACCUAGUGAGCCGCACCCCAAGGCGGGCUGGUGACUAUUCAAUGACCCUGAUCUGUGAUGCCAGCAGAUUUCCACCGUCACUCCCACUGUGACUUGGAUAACUCCACGUAAUCAAGGUGACAUCAUCGAAGCGAUGCUAAUCAUCAACUCCAUCACACCACCGGCCCUUGUAUUUUUACCUCCUGCCAAGGUGGGGUCACCGACCUCUCCGCACAGUGACUGACUGCCAGGCGGCCGGGAGGAGGAACACAAAUGGACGCAAGACCCCUUCCUACCAAAAAAUGCUCCGUCAGCAACCUUCACAUCCCCGUCCGCCCUCCGGGGCCAGAGGCCAAGACGGGCACAGGGACCUUCGGCGGCCUUCCAAGAUGGCCAGCCUCCAGCUCUGGCCUCUCCCGCUGCGGGCCAGCUGCCAGGCGCCGGGGUAAAUACAGCAGGGAGCCCACCGCCCGAGAGUCUCCAUGGGGCAGAGCUGGGUGCUGACCGCCCAGGACCCAGAGUCACUACCUGCCCCCCUCAA
This is a long non-coding RNA of Bubalus bubalis (water buffalo), 756 nucleotides long. RefSeq lists it as uncharacterized. The transcript is spliced from 4 exons. NCBI's taxonomy places the organism in Eukaryota, Metazoa, Chordata, Mammalia, Artiodactyla, Bovidae. The record is from RefSeq and is a predicted model, not a curated record.